RNAcentral lists this ribosomal RNA (253 nucleotides) under uncultured bacterium. RNAcentral's name for it is "partial 16S ribosomal RNA". It matches the Rfam family "Bacterial small subunit ribosomal RNA", at positions 524 to 776 of the family's 1533-position model. The record is from RNAcentral.
UACGAAGGGUGCAAGCGUUAAUCGGAAUUACUGGGCGUAAAGCGUGCGUAGGUGGUCCUUUAAGUCCGUUGUGAAAGCCCUGGGCUCAACCUGGGAAUGGCAGUGGAUACUGGAAGGCUGGAGUACGGUAGAGGAGGGUGGAAUUCCCGGUGUAGCGGUGAAAUGCGUAGAGAUCGGGAGGAACAUCAGUGGCGAAGGCGGCCCUCUGGACCAGUACUGACGCUGAGGCACGAAAGCGUGGGGAGCAAACAGG